CAGACUCGCACCUCCAGGGUCAAGACGCUGUGGUUCCACAUAAGCGGCUCGCGGUGACCACUUCUUUCAGGUCACUCUCGGGUUUCCCGGCCACCAUAAAGGGCCACGUCUGCAGGAGAGAAGAGAGUGGAGGAGAAGCUGACAUAGCCCCUCCAACCUCCUUCAACCACCACCUUGAUCCAUCAGAAACCACCAAUAUUGAGGCAAGACCCUCCAUCAGAAAAAGACUGACUUGCUGAAAGCUCCAGUGAUGGUUAGCAUUUUUCAUCAAUAAGAGAGAGUGAGAGAAACAGAGACAGCACAACCAUGAGGGGCACAGGGAGGAGAGAGAAUCUCAAGCAAAGACUCUGCAGUGAGCAAGGAGCCCAAUACAGGGCUCAAUCUCACAACCCAGAGAUCGUGAUCUGAGCUGAAAGCAAGAGUUGGAUGCUUAACCAACUGUGCCA
This is a long non-coding RNA of Mustela lutreola (European mink), 446 nucleotides long. RefSeq lists it as uncharacterized. The record is from RefSeq and is a predicted model, not a curated record. The transcript is spliced from 3 exons. NCBI's taxonomy places the organism in Eukaryota, Metazoa, Chordata, Mammalia, Carnivora, Mustelidae.